GCUGGGCAUGGUGGCACGUGCCUAUAGUCCCAGCUACUAGGGAGCUGAUGCAGGAGGAUCACUUGAGCCUAGGAGUUCUAUGCUGAUCAGGUGUCUGCAUUAAGUUCAGCAUCAAUAUGGUGACAUCCCGAGAGCAGGGGACCACCAGGUUGCCUAAAGAGGGGUGAACUGGCCCAGGUCAGAGACAGAGCAGGUCAAAACUCCCGUGCUGAUCAAUAGUAGGAUCGCCCCUGUGAGUAGCCACUGCACUCCACCUGGGCAACAUAGAGAGACCCCCCCAUCU
Molecule: signal recognition particle RNA, 283 nt
Filed under: Zalophus californianus (California sea lion)
Lineage: Eukaryota; Metazoa; Chordata; Mammalia; Carnivora; Otariidae
Description: Metazoan signal recognition particle RNA (ENSZCAG00015017651.1)
Rfam family: Metazoan signal recognition particle RNA
About the family: The signal recognition particle (SRP) is a universally conserved ribonucleoprotein.
Source: RNAcentral